AGUUAAACAGUACGUGAAAUUGUUGAAAGGGAAACGAUUGAAGCCAGUCGUACCUUCGGGUAAUCAGCCUUUCGGGUGCGAUUCUGUGGAGUGUGAGGAGCUUAAACACCUUCAUGUUUUGCAUAUUCGUACUCUUGGGUGUACUUGCCCGUGUGGUUGGUUAACAUCAAUUUUGGUGGUCAUAAAAUGACUGGAGGAAUGUAGCUUCGAUCUUGUAUUGAAGUGUUAUAGCCUUCGGUAGAUGUGAUGAUCGAGAUUGAGGAUUGCAACGGAUACCCUUCGGGGCUACCUGUCUGGUCUCUGAUCGUUGCUCUGGUGCCGAAAGCUUGCUUACGGUUAUCAAAGUCGAUGGUCAAUAGGUUAGAACGGGUUAAAUUCGUUAAGGAUGUUGACGUAAUGGCUUUAAA
Molecule: unclassified non-coding RNA, 407 nt
Filed under: uncultured Rhizophagus
Lineage: Eukaryota; Fungi; Glomeromycota; Glomeromycetes; Glomerales; Glomeraceae
Description: sequence contains 28S rRNA gene
Source: RNAcentral